CCUUCCAACCCAUAUUUGGGGGUUAUAAUCUCUUGUUAUAAAUAUUAUUUAAAUAAUCGAUAGGUUGCAGUUGAUUGUAGUUUACAAAGGAGAGUGGAUGCUUAUCUUGCUGACUACCUUUUUCAUAAAUCUAAGAGUUUAAAUGUUUUACAAGAUAAUGGGAUUUCAAGAUCAAGCAAUAGUGUUAGUAUAGCCACCAAUAAAGGUGUCUUCGAGCAACCAGAACCCCUGAAUCUUUGUAGUUCUUCAUGGAGAGAAUUACUAGGUGAAGAAACUUGCAGCGUCAUGAUUAGAAGCUUGCUUCGAAGGUUUAUCUUCUGAAUUCAUCCCUGUUGUUGAAAAAUGCGGAUUUAUCGCUCGGGAGAUUAGAGAAUAGGCUAUUAUAUCUUGUACUUUAUAUUGUUAAUAAUAGAGUUGCAUUUUAUAUACAACAGGAAUGCUCGAACGGAAGAAAAAUGUUGGAGUUUCGCCAAAGUCUUCCAGCAUAUAAGGAGAAAGAUGCACUAAUAACAGGUGUAACAUGUAAUCAGAUUUUCUUCUUAUUGUGCCGAAAGAGCUACUUUCUCAUAGACCAGAGUUAAGUUGAUAUUGAUGAGUGCGACAUUACUCUAAGCUAUUCUCUUCUUAUUUUGGUGGUGCUCUUGUGGUGAACAUCGUGGAAGAAUAUGCUCAGCAGGUUGGUUUGUGUCUGCACCCUUGUCAAGCCAUGAUGAAUUGAAAAAGGAGCGUGUUACAAUGUCUACUCCCAAAAUAUUUGCACGGAGUUUACAGAUGGAACCAACUUUGUGAUGGAAGUUGUUCCUCAUUUGAAGAAUCUCCUUCCGUACCAUUACACAAAUAGGAGGUUGUCAGACAUAAAAUCUCAUUAGUUGUGUUGGAGAGGGAGUUGCAUCCAAACUAUCAACGACCUACAUUAUAAACGUACUUAUGGGUCCGUAUUGUGUAUUAUAUAUUUCGUAUAUUGCAACUCGAAUUUUAGCAUACCUUUGCUAGCAUUGAAUUUUCAUAAAUUUGGAAUGCUCGUCUUUUUUAUAACAUAUUUGUA
Molecule: long non-coding RNA, 1045 nt
Organism: Spinacia oleracea (spinach)
Lineage: Eukaryota; Viridiplantae; Streptophyta; Magnoliopsida; Caryophyllales; Amaranthaceae
Exons: 4
Source: RefSeq, a predicted model, not a curated record